Molecule: ribosomal RNA, 1454 nt
Filed under: uncultured organism
Description: SSU rRNA
Rfam family: Bacterial small subunit ribosomal RNA
Source: RNAcentral
AACGCUGGCGGCAGGCCUAACACAUGCAAGUCGAACGGUAACAGAAAGCAGCUUGCUGCUUUGCUGACGAGUGGCGGACGGGUGAGUAAUGUCUGGGAAACUGCCUGAUGGAGGGGGAUAACUACUGGAAACGGUAGCUAAUACCGCAUAACGUCGCAAGACCAAAGAGGGGGACCUUCGGGCCUCUUGCCAUCGGAUGUGCCCAGAUGGGAUUAGCUUGUUGGUGGGGUAACGGCUCACCAAGGCGACGAUCCCUAGCUGGUCUGAGAGGAUGACCAGCCACACUGGAACUGAGACACGGUCCAGACUCCUACGGGAGGCAGCAGUGGGGAAUAUUGCACAAUGGGCGCAAGCCUGAUGCAGCCAUGCCGCGUGUAUGAAGAAGGCCUUCGGGUUGUAAAGUACUUUCAGCGGGGAGGAAGGGAGUAAAGUUAAUACCUUUGCUCAUUGACGUUACCCGCAGAAGAAGCACCGGCUAACUCCGUGCCAGCAGCCGCGGUAAUACGGAGGGUGCAAGCGUUAAUCGGAAUUACUGGGCGUAAAGCGCACGCAGGCGGUUUGUUAAGUCAGAUGUGAAAUCCCCGGGCUCAACCUGGGAACUGCAUCUGAUACUGGCAAGCUUGAGUCUCGUAGAGGGGGGUAGAAUUCCAGGUGUAGCGGUGAAAUGCGUAGAGAUCUGGAGGAAUACCGGUGGCGAAGGCGGCCCCCUGGACGAAGACUGACGCUCAGGUGCGAAAGCGUGGGGAGCAAACAGGAUUAGAUACCCCUGGUAGUCCCCGCCGUAAACGAUGUCGACUUGGAGGUUGUGCCCUUGAGGCGUGGCUUCCGGAGCUAACGCGUUAAGUCGACCGCCUGGGGAGUACGGCCGCAAGGUUAAAACUCAAAUGAAUUGACGGGGGCCCGCACAAGCGGUGGAGCAUGUGGUUUAAUUCGAUGCAACGCGAAGAACCUUACCUGGUCUUGACAUCCACGGAAGUUUUCAGAGAUGAGAAUGUGCCUUCGGGAACCGUGAGACAGGUGCUGCAUGGCUGUCGUCAGCUCGUGUUGUGAAAUGUUGGGUUAAGUCCCGCAACGAGCGCAACCCUUAUCCUUUGUUGCCAGCGGUCCGGCCGGGAACUCAAAGGAGACUGCCAGUGAUAAACUGGAGGAAGGUGGGGAUGACGUCAAGUCAUCAUGGCCCUUACGACCAGGGCUACACACGUGCUACAAUGGCGCAUACGAAGAGAAGCGACCUCGCGAGAGCAAGCGGACCUCAUAAAGUGCGUCGUAGUCCGGAUUGGAGUCUGCAACUCGACUCCAUGAAGUCGGAAUCGCUAGUAAUCGUGGAUCAGAAUGCCACGGUGAAUACGUUCCCGGGCCUUGUACACACCGCCCGUCACACCAUGGGAGUGGGUUGCAAAAGAAGUAGGUAGCUUAACCUUCGGGAGGGCGCUUACCACUUUGUGAUUCAUGAC